RNAcentral lists this ribosomal RNA (1436 nucleotides) under metagenome. RNAcentral describes it as "bacterial SSU rRNA". It matches the Rfam family "Archaeal small subunit ribosomal RNA". The record is from RNAcentral.
UCCAGUUGAUCCUGCUGGAGGCCGCUGCUAUUGGGAUCCGACUAAGCCAUGCAAGUCCAGGGGUCCUUCGGGACACCGGCAGACUGCUCAGUAACACGUCGAUAAUCUGCCCUCGGGUUCAGGAUAACCUUGGGAAACUGAGGCUAAACCUGAAUAUGGGAAUUCUACUGGAAUGUGUUUUCCUUUAAAGGUGACGCCCGAGGAUGAGUUGGCGGCGGAUUAGCUUGUUGGUGGGGUAAUGGCCCACCAAGGCGAUGAUCCGUAGGGGCCUUGAAAGAGGUAGCCCCGAGAAGGGCACUGAGAUACUGGCCCUAGCCCUACGGGGUGCAGCAGGCGCGAAACCUUUACACUACACGAAAGUGCGAUAAGGGGAUCCCAAGUGCCUAUACUCUGUAUAGGCUUUUUUCAAGAGUAAAGAUUUUGGAGAAUAAGUGGUGGGAAAGACUGGUGCCAGCAGCCGCGGUAAUACCAGCGCCACGAGUAGGGGCCAUGGUUAUUGGGCCUAAAGCGUUCGUAGCAGGCUGUGUAAACCUCUUGUGAAAUCGUUAGGCUUAACCUAACGGCGUGCAGGAGAGACUGCGUAGCUAGAGACCGGGAGGGGUAAGAGGUAUUUCUGGGGGAGCGGUAAAAUGCUAUAAUCCCAGGAGGACCACCUGUGGCGAAGGCGUCUUACCAGAUCGGUUCUGACUGUGAGGAACGAAAGCCAGGGGAGCAAACCGGAUUAGAUACCCGAGUAGUCCUGGCCGUAAACGCUGCGAGCAAGGUGUUGCAUAUUCUAACAUGGAUAUGCAGUGUCGAAACGAAGGUGUUAAGCUCGCCGCCUGGGAAGUACGGUCGCAAGAUUGAAACUUAAAGGAAUUGGCGGGGGAGCACUACAAGGGGUGCGGCGUGCGGUUUAAUUGAACUCAACACCGGAAAUCUCACCAGGAGCGACGGCAGAAUGAAAGUCAGUCUAACGGGCUUACUUAACAAGCCGAGAGGUGGUGCAUGGCCGCCGUCAGCUCGUGCCGUAAGGUGUCCUGUUAAGUCAGGCAACGAGCGAGACCUGCAUCUACAAUUGCCAUCAGCUCAAUCUGAGGACUGGGCACAUUGUAGAGACUGCCUGGGAAACCAGGAGGAAGGUGCAGGCCACGGUAGGUCUGUAUGCCCCGAAUCCCCUGGGCUACACGCGCGCAACAAUGGUAGGGACAAUGGGAUGCAACUCUGAAAAGAGAAGCUAAUCCUCGAAACCCUAUCCUAGUUCAGAUCGAGGGCUGCAACUCGCCCUCGUGACGUCGGAAUCCCUAGUAAUCGGACGUCAUCAGCGUCCGGUGAAUACGUCCCUGCUCCUUGCACACACCGCCCGUCAAGCCACCCGAGCAGGGUUUGGGUGAGGCCUAGCCUAUUAGUUAGGUCGAACUUAGGCUCAGUGAGGAGGGCUAAGUCGUCACAAGGUA